Molecule: ribosomal RNA, 547 nt
Filed under: uncultured Glomeromycotina
Lineage: Eukaryota; Fungi; Glomeromycota
Description: SSU rRNA
Rfam family: Eukaryotic small subunit ribosomal RNA
Source: RNAcentral
UUGGAGGGCAAGUCUGGUGCCAGCAGCCGCGGUAAUUCCAGCUCCAAUAGCGUAUAUUAAAGUUGUUGCAGUUAAAAAGCUCGUAGUUGAAUUUCGGGGUUCUUCCGUUGGUCAGGCUAACCAGUCUGUACUAGCGUGUAGAAUUCCUACCUUCUGGGGAACCAUCAUGUUAUUAAUUUAGCGUGGUGGGAAACCAGGACCUUUACCUUGAAAAAAUUAGAGUGUUCAAAGCAGGCUUACGUCUGAAUACAUUAGCAUGGAAUAAUAAAAUAGGACGGUGGUCCUGUUUUGUUGGUUUCUGAAUCACCGUAAUGAUUAAUAGGGAUAGUUGGGGGCAUUAGUAUUCAAUUGUCAGAGGUGAAAUUCUUGGAUUUAUUGAAGACUAACUUCUGCGAAAGCAUUUGCCAAGGAUGUUUUCAUUAAUCAAGAACGAAAGUUAGGGGGUCGAAGACGAUCAGAUACCGUCGUAGUCUUAACCAUAAACUAUGCCGGCUAGGGAUCGGACGAUGUUAAAUUUUAUUGACUCGUUCGGCGCCUUACGGGAAAC